RNA transcript from Chelonia mydas (Green sea turtle), 3077 nucleotides. It is a transcript of the gene named UBX domain protein 10, with no coding region annotated. The record is from RefSeq and is a predicted model, not a curated record. NCBI's taxonomy places the organism in Eukaryota, Metazoa, Chordata, Testudines, Cheloniidae. The transcript is spliced from 3 exons.
AAAAAAAGGCCCAUGGAUGCUUGAAAUUGACCAUUCAGUGGAGAACAAGCAUGGAAAGUACCAGGCCCUCAAAGGGGUUUCAGAAAUUCACCUCCGACAUUGUUUAAUUUACUGAUCAUUUCCAUUUCACUGAGACAAGAGAGGAAGGCGAAGAAACAAGGUGUUAAAUAACGCAUCACUGGCAAAAGGCUUAUGAGCAUCUGGUUUUCCAACUCUUGUUAAUUUGAUGAAUACGGUGGAACAUGAAUGUUGGCAUCCCCCUUGGAGUAACAGACGGUUUAUGCACUUGAGAAGAGGCGUUGGAUUAUGAAGGUGUCUUGAGAAGCAAUGGCCACAGUAGCACCUCUGAACAUAGCACCAUCUGAAUGCAACACCACUUUGGGCACUGCAGAAGCUUUCAUUUGGAGGUCAAACACCAUCAAUAUGCAUGUUACCCGGCCGAAAUCUGCCAAGGGACGUACAAGAUCAAGCUUGAAUUACUCCCAUAGUGUGGAGGCCUAUUCUUAUAGAGUGCCAUCCUCCCCUCAGCCAGCAGCUCCCUAUGAAGCAGCAAGCAAUCAAAGAGCAUCAUCUACCAAACCAUCUUAUCAGCCUGGGCAGGUGUCUCCUGAUGAAAUCCCAGAGCUCCUCCAACAAGUACCCUUGAGGACCUCCUCUUCCCUAAAUAAGUACAGAGUGCUCCCGUCCAUCAGCAGGAAGGGCUUGGGGAAGAGUGCUGUGGAAACAGUGAUCGAACAGACCAACAAACUGAAAAUGAGUAGUAGACAGGAGGAGGAGCAACCAUCCAAAGCUCUUCCUGGAGAGGGAAAAUCCACUGGUAUAAUGACAGAGAAUGAAGGGGCUAGAGGGGAAUACUCAAAAGUCCAACCUCCCAUUUCUGAGAAGAAGCCGUUAAGGAAAACAAGAGAAGAAAGCUCUUCCUCAUCAGUUUUAAACCAGGAGGAGCCACUGAAGAAAGAACCAAGACUGCUGCUUGCCGUUAGGUCUCCUUCUGGUCAAAGAUUUGAACAUCACUUCAGGCCUACAGACAGCCUUCAGACGGUCCUUGCUGUGGCAGAACAAAAGCACACAACCAAAUACAAACACUGUCGUGUUGAAACGAUGGAAGUGCCUAGGAGGAGCUUUCCUGACCUUACAAAGUCCCUGCAAGAGUGCGGGAUCCCACACAAGUCAGUGUUGUGCAUUCUCCAGGAAGUGCAAGAUGGAGAUCUCUAAAUGUACAGUGAUGUUACACAACUUCCAUCACCCCUUAGCAUGUAACUCUAUUGGAUGCCAUGGACUUCCCUUUGAUGAGUGGUCUAAGAACUGAACCAGCCUGAUCUGUUUCAGUGGUCUACUUCUUAGUCCCACUGUCUUCCAAGCGCUUCCCUUGAAGUAGACUUGUAUAUAAAUGGAGUGUGCUGAAAUACUUCUUAAUUAUUUUAAAGUGUAUGUACACACCACAUUAAGAGUAUCUAUUUUUUCCAUGUGUACAAUCACAAUUCACUUUAAGAGUGGGCAUCAGCUUCUGGGCUUUGUAAUAUUUCUAAAUAGUUUUAAAAAGAGUUUCUAUUCCUCUGGGAAGACCCACUUUUCUGAUGCCCUCUCUUCUGGUGGUGGGAGGCCUGUCUCGUCUUCUCUGUUUUUGCUCCAGGAACGCACCACUUCCCCAAAUGAAGUCUGAGUCAGGAUCAUACAUGGAGCUGGGAAGACACAAGCAGCACUAUUUUGAUUCCUUAAAGCUAUAGGAAUGGCCUUCAUAAUAAAGUAGCUUGUUGGCUGCAAGAACAGCUACAAUGGUCAAUACACAGAAAAUGGUCUCAAAGCAGUAACUCAAACAGUUGGUGAGAGUAAAUAUGUUGCUGGGAUGUGUUAAAAGUACAAGGUCAAGGGUAAAGUACAUUCAAGAAUCAAACCAUUCCUAUAUAAUCUCAGUGUUUUGAGUACGCCUGCUUUGUCUUCUCAUAAAAGGAAAGUCAUGGUUAAGGUGGUCUGAUUCCUCUAUGGAUACAAAGAGGACUUUUUUUUAAACUCAUUAGCUUUCUUUCUUCAGCAAGUGCGUAAGAUUGUGAUGCACACCUGUAAAUCAGGAAAUCCAGAGCUAAGGGUGGAUUGUCUGCUGUAACUUUGAAUUUCAGUGCUGUUUGCUACUGCAAUUUAACGUUUUUAAAUUGAACUGCAUUAAGCUGAGCAAUUACCUGUUGCUUUUGUGUUUUGGCUAAAUACAUAAAGGAAGUGUUCUGCUGGGGCUGUUAUCUUCCGAAUAGACUGUGCCUCAAACUAUUGGGACUCUUCUAGAGCUAUUUAUUUUCUAUAGUUCAGAAAAAUCAACCUGUUCGAGUAGAAUGGCUUGGCCCUGUGGUUUUGUAUUAACGCAGCUGCUGUGCGUGUGCUAAAAAGCCUCACAUUUUUUAGUGGAAAACCUUCCUGUACACGUGCAGUCGCUGAGUUUGAACACCCAGUAUAAUAAAAGAAUGGAUCAGGCUACCUGACUGGCCUUUUUGCCAAAUAAUAGGCUCCUUUUGAGUAUUACAGGUGAAACAAAUGCAGUGUUUUUGCCUCUCUGUAAUGGCCAAACCAACCUUUUGUAAUAUUGCUCUUUACUGUGAUCAUAUAUGCUGAAUUUCAGUCAAAAGCAAAUAUUCAUAGGCCAGCAAUUAAGCCCCAUAGAACAAGACAGCUGCUGAAAUACUAGCACUACCUGAUGCUGCAAGUGGUGACACUGGUCUGUUGACUUCAACAGCAGCAUUUAGAGGACUACACUAAGCUAGAAGCAUUCUCAACUGCCUUCGGGGGUAUAACUGUAUCAGAGGUUUCUAAUGAGGAUUACAACUAUGUGAUCUGGGAACAUGGUAAAAAGAAUGUUUCACUAUGAAAAUUGCCAAGAGCAAUGGGAAGAACGAACUAACUAUAUGAUUAAUUUUUUACAUGGAAGAAUACAGCCUAUUCUUCUGCUCUGAACUUAGCAUUGGCUGUUCGUGAGAGAUGGCUGGUUCAAGUGGCAGAAUGGAGUGUAGUGUUGUUGGCCAGCACACCGCAGCAUAGAAGAGCCCGCUAAUGCUAAAGAAUGCAAACCACCUCCAUAAGCAAAGUGUUCA